Molecule: long non-coding RNA, 224 nt
Filed under: Mytilus galloprovincialis (Mediterranean mussel)
Lineage: Eukaryota; Metazoa; Mollusca; Bivalvia; Mytilida; Mytilidae
Source: RNAcentral
AAUUCAAAUUUAUUGCUAUUUUGUGCAUUUUUCCUUUGAUCUUUUUUUUUUUAUAAUUUUUCCUAUCAUGCUACUUGCUUGUGAUGGAAAAUUAUCGCUUGAAACUAAGAGGCACGUGGCGGUGCAAAUGAAAUUGACAUGAAAUUGACAACGUCAUCAUAGGUAAAAUAGAGAUAAACAGAUUAUCAUUGGUCAUUUCAACUUGAUUGCAUUUCUCACAUUCG